Long non-coding RNA from Cyprinus carpio carpio, 1615 nucleotides. Lineage: Eukaryota; Metazoa; Chordata; Actinopteri; Cypriniformes; Cyprinidae. The record is from Ensembl.
AAAGCAAAUAAUUAUUUUGUUGCAGGCAAAAAAGCAUUGAAGUCUUCAGUGAGGUUCAAUCCGAAAGCAGUUACAGAUUACAGUAUUCUCAACUGUCAUCGACUAUCCUGCGCCUCGGGACUCCACUGUUCCAGCUUUGCCUCGUCCCUCUGGCUCCGUCAGGCUCCUUCAUCCCCUCGGCUUCUCCUUAGUCCCCUGUCGCUCUGGUUCCACCACGGCCUCCCGGAUCCACACCUUCGAGUCGGUCGCCAGCGCCAUCUGCUCCGCCUAGGACCUCCGGAUCAUCCCCAUUGUGCUGGCCUAUCAGCUUUCUGUCUCUGCCUUGGGCUCCUCCACCACCUGCUCCGCCACUGUUGGUUGCCCCCCUGGAGUCGGCAGUCAUUUGUACAUCUCUCUCUCUCUCUCUCUCUCUAUAUAUAUAUAUAUAUAUAUAUAUAUACACAUUUAGUCAUUUAGCAGACGCUUUUAUUCAAAGCAACUUACAAAAAAUGAGGACAAUGGAAGCAAUCAAAAUCAACAAAAGAGCAAUGAUAUACAAGUGCUAAUAACAAGUCUCAGCUAGUUUGAUGCAGUACACAUAGCAAGCGUUUUUUUUAAAUAAUAUAAUAAAUAAAAAGAAAAAAGAGAAUAGAAAAAGAAUGGAGCAAGCUAGUGUUAGAGGUCUUUUUGCUUUUGUUAACUGUACAAUAAAUUAAAAGACAUGUGUUAGUUUAUAUAUAUAUAUAUAUAUAUAUAUAUAUAUAUAUAUAUAUAUAUAUAUAUAUAUAUAUAAUGUUUUUGUUUUUUGCAAAUAUGAUUUAUUCUGAAGCAAUAUUUUCAUCAGUUUUUGAUCAGCUGUGACAAAUCUGCAAGGUUUUUUUUUUCAUUUAGAGGGCAUUUUCUCUCAACUUCAUUAUACUUCAUCUUUCAUUUCAAAUUCUUACAUUUAAUCUAUAAAUUCAAUAAUAAUAGUGUUGUUAUUAUUGUUAUCUAUACGUUAUCAAUUUGAAUAAAUUGUGUUUAAUAAGUGAGUCAUUGAGUUGUUCAUUCAAGCGAUUCGUUCAAACAAAAAUUUCUCCUGGAGAGGCUGUGUGAGCCUCGCCUCAGCAGCACAACUUUAUAGGCAUUAUAUACAGUAGCUAUAUCCACUAUACACCACUUACUCUAAAUGUAAUAAAAACAGAAUGAUUCUUGCAUUUUGGUGAUUGCCUAGUUAUUUUUGGUUAUUGAUGUUUUAAUCAAGUUAGUUAAUGACGUUAAUGAUGCGUUAAUGUCAAGCCCUGGAGUUUAUGUGCUGGGGUUCAAACCCCGGCCCAAUUUAUACCCUGCUUAUACAUGUAUUUGCAUCACAUUUAGAAAUAAACAAAAAUAAAAUAUCCAUGUUCAUUUUCUGCAUUAUAACAACCCCAGCAUAUUUAAGGGGUCCCUAUAUGUUACAGCUGAUUGUCCAUCUAGACACCCGACACAGUGGCGGGUGUGAAGGAAUAUUUAUUUAACUAUGUUUAAUGAAGUGUCUCUUAUAUUGUUUUGAUGGGGAUUAAUAUCCCUAAUAUAGAUCAUGUAAUUUAUUUUUUAAGUGCUUGUUUUUAUAUAAAACAUUUACAAACAUCUAUUCUGUAUUCUAAAGAAAGUUAUU